RNAcentral lists this ribosomal RNA (626 nucleotides) under Komagataea norvegica. RNAcentral describes it as "LSU rRNA". It matches the Rfam family "Eukaryotic large subunit ribosomal RNA", at positions 22 to 656 of the family's 3401-position model. Lineage: Eukaryota; Fungi; Ascomycota; Saccharomycetes; Phaffomycetales; Wickerhamomycetaceae. The record is from RNAcentral.
UACCCGCUGAACUUAAGCAUAUCAAUAAGCGGAGGAAAAGAAACCAACAGGGAUUGCCUCAGUAACGGCGAGUGAAGCGGCAAAAGCUCAAAUUUGAAAUCUGGCAGCCUCGCUGUCCGAGUUGUAAUUUGAAGAUUUCUCUUUGUGAGAGGCGCCUUGUCUAUGUUCCUUGGAACAGGACGUCGCAGAGGGUGAGAAUCCCGUGUGAUGAGGCCGCCGAUCCGUGUAAAGAGUCAUCGACGAGUCGAGUUGUUUGGGAAUGCAGCUCUAAGUGGGUGGUAAACUCCAUCUAAAGCUAAAUAUUGGCGAGAGACCGAUAGCGAACAAGUACAGUGAUGGAAAGAUGAAAAGAACUUUGAAAAGAGAGUGAAAAAGUACGUGAAAUUGUUGAAAGGGAAGGUUAUUAGAUCAGACUUGGCGGCGCGCCAUACCUGUCCUCUUGUAGGGCGGACACUGGCGCGUGUUUGCUGGGCCAGCAUCGAUUCGGGCGGCGGGACAUGGUCCUGUGGGAUGUGGCUGUUUAACACAGUGUUAUAACCACGGGUCUCUGCCGCCUGCCUGGAUCGAGGACUGCGUCUGUUUACAGACUAGGAUGCUGGCGUAAUGAUCUAAUAUCGCCCGUCUUG